Molecule: ribosomal RNA, 253 nt
Filed under: uncultured bacterium
Lineage: Bacteria
Description: partial 16S ribosomal RNA
Rfam family: Bacterial small subunit ribosomal RNA
Source: RNAcentral
UACGUAGGGACCAAGCGUUGUUCGGAUUUACUGGGCGUAAAGGGCGCGUAGGCGGCAAUUCAAGUCAUCUGUGAAAUCUCCGGGCUUAACCCGGAACGGUCAGGUGAUACUGUUUUGCUAGAGUGCGGAAGGGGCAAUCGGAAUUCUCGGUGUAGCGGUGAAAUGCGUAGAUAUCGAGAGGAACACCAGAGGUGAAGACGGGUUGCUGGGCCGACACUGACGCUGACAGCGCGAAAGCCAGGGAGCAAACGGG